RNAcentral lists this ribosomal RNA (785 nucleotides) under Escherichia coli. RNAcentral describes it as "partial 23S ribosomal RNA". It matches the Rfam family "Bacterial large subunit ribosomal RNA", at positions 1 to 829 of the family's 2925-position model. Lineage: Bacteria; Pseudomonadati; Pseudomonadota; Gammaproteobacteria; Enterobacterales; Enterobacteriaceae. The record is from RNAcentral.
GGUUAAGCGACUAAGCGUACACGGUGGAUGCCCUGGCAGUCAGAGGCGAUGAAGGACGUGCUAAUCUGCGAUAAGCGUCGGUAAGGUGAUAUGAACCGUUAUAACCGGCGAUUUCCGAAUGGGGAAACCCAGUGUGUUUCGACACACUAUCAUUAACUGAAUCCAUAGGUUAAUGAGGCGAACCGGGGGAACUGAAACAUCUAAGUACCCCGAGGAAAAGAAAUCAACCGAGAUUCCCCCAGUAGCGGCGAGCGAACGGGGAGCAGCCCAGAGCCUGAAUCAGUGUGUGUGUUAGUGGAAGCGUCUGGAAAGGCGCGCGAUACAGGGUGACAGCCCCGUACACAAAAAUGCACAUACUGUGAGCUCGAUGAGUAGGGCGGGACACGUGGUAUCCUGUCUGAAUAUGGGGGGACCAUCCUCCAAGGCUAAAUACUCCUGACUGACCGAUAGUGAACCAGUACCGUGAGGGAAAGGCGAAAAGAACCCCGGCGAGGGGAGUGAAAAAGAACCUGAAACCGUGUACGUACAAGCAGUGGGAGCACGCUUAGGCGUGUGACUGCGUACCUUUUGUAUAAUGGGUCAGCGACUUAUAUUCUGUAGCAAGGUUAACCGAAUAGGGGAGCCGAAGGGAAACCGAGUCUUAACUGGGCGUUAAGUUGCAGGGUAUAGACCCGAAACCCGGUGAUCUAGCCAUGGGCAGGUUGAAGGUUGGGAACACUAACUGGAGGACCGAACCGACUAAUGUUGAAAAAUUAGCGGAUGACUUGUGGCUGGGGGUGAAAGGC